UCCCAUGAUGCUCUCUUUCCUGAUGCUACC
Molecule: non-coding RNA, 30 nt
Filed under: Mus musculus (house mouse)
Lineage: Eukaryota; Metazoa; Chordata; Mammalia; Rodentia; Muridae
Source: RNAcentral